Molecule: ribosomal RNA, 668 nt
Filed under: Shigella flexneri
Lineage: Bacteria; Pseudomonadati; Pseudomonadota; Gammaproteobacteria; Enterobacterales; Enterobacteriaceae
Description: bacterial SSU rRNA
Rfam family: Bacterial small subunit ribosomal RNA
Source: RNAcentral
GUCUGGGAAACUGCCUGAUGGAGGGGGAUAACUACUGGAAACGGUAGCUAAUACCGCAUAACGUCGCAAGACCAAAGAGGGGGACCUUCGGGCCUCUUGCCAUCGGAUGUGCCCAGAUGGGAUUAGCUAGUAGGUGGGGUAACGGCUCACCUAGGCGACGAUCCCUAGCUGGUCUGAGAGGAUGACCAGCCACACUGGAACUGAGACACGGUCCAGACUCCUACGGGAGGCAGCAGUGGGGAAUAUUGCACAAUGGGCGCAAGCCUGAUGCAGCCAUGCCGCGUGUAUGAAGAAGGCCUUCGGGUUGUAAAGUACUUUCAGCGGGGAGGAAGGGAGUAAAGUUAAUACCUUUGCUCAUUGACGUUACCCGCAGAAGAAGCACCGGCUAACUCCGUGCCAGCAGCCGCGGUAAUACGGAGGGUGCAAGCGUUAAUCGGAAUUACUGGGCGUAAAGCGCACGCAGGCGGUUUGUUAAGUCAGAUGUGAAAUCCCCGGGCUCAACCUGGGAACUGCAUCUGAUACUGGCAAGCUUGAGUCUCGUAGAGGGGGGUAGAAUUCCAGGUGUAGCGGUGAAAUGCGUAGAGAUCUGGAGGAAUACCGGUGGCGAAGGCGGCCCCCUGGACGAAGACUGACGCUCAGGUGCGAAAGCGUGGGGAGCAAACAGGAUU